Molecule: non-coding RNA, 303 nt
Organism: Pelobates cultripes (western spadefoot toad)
Lineage: Eukaryota; Metazoa; Chordata; Amphibia; Anura; Pelobatidae
Source: the annotation of a GenBank genome assembly
GAGGUGUUGAAACGGGAUCGAGGUCCCUCUCCAGACACCAGCUAACCCAACUCCGCCAAGCGGAGAGGUAGGUUCGUCUGGUUCCUGGAGCCCACGAGUCCCAGAGGAGUGUUUGAGCUGUGCGUGAAAGACCUGUGACAUUCCAAGCUCCCCUGAAACUGUCCAAGCUACCAGUUGAAGAUGGCCCUGUAGGGCAAGAGGAUGGUAAUCGCCCAUUGGGUUCCUGAGGACUCGAAAGGAGCGAGGAAGAAGGAUGGGAUAGUCUACUGAUAGUUCCAGGAGGGUAGGGAACCAGGUCUGGGC